Molecule: long non-coding RNA, 301 nt
Filed under: Homo sapiens (human)
Lineage: Eukaryota; Metazoa; Chordata; Mammalia; Primates; Hominidae
Description: long non-coding RNA NONHSAT192875
Source: RNAcentral
CAGGACUUCUCCCACUCUGGGCUCUGGCUGGAGCCACCACGGCAGAGCUGGCCUUGGACCCAGCCGGCAGAAGCACAGGCCAAGUGCCAGCUGCUCCCCAGGCGCUUAGGGGAAAAUGUCCAGGCACCUGGACCUGAAAGGUCCCCCUCUGGCUUCUGUGUUGGGUGUUCAGAAGUUUCUAAUCUUCCCUUUUCUGGGAGACCCAAGACUCUGGACCCCAAGGGUUUGGUGGGAUCCUGCUGCCACCUUCCUCUGGCCCUGCUCAUGCCCUCCAGCCAGGGCCCCAGCCCUCCCCAAGGUC